GGAAAAAAUAUGAUAUUACUUUACUAAAAGUGUUGUCCAAAUCUGGUGCCAAAACACUCGGUAACGCCAGAAACGCGAACGUUAGUCACAUUAACCAGGCGUAAAGGGUUCGUACGCACUUU
Molecule: ribosomal RNA, 122 nt
Filed under: Lentinula novae-zelandiae
Lineage: Eukaryota; Fungi; Basidiomycota; Agaricomycetes; Agaricales; Omphalotaceae
Description: partial small subunit ribosomal RNA
Source: RNAcentral